AUGCCCGGUUCCCGGUGCCCGGUGCCCGGUUCCCGGUGCUCGGUGCCCGGUAACCGGUGCCCGAUGCCCGGUGCCCGAUGCCCGGUUCCCGGUGCCCGGUGCCCGGUUCCCGGUGCUCGGUGCCCGGUAACCGGUACCCGGUGCCCGAUACCCUGUGCCCGGUUCCCGGUGCCGGUGCGCGGCGCGGAGCUGUCCGCCGCGGCGGUGCUGAGCGGGCGCCGUGCCCAGCCGCCUGCCCCGGCCAACCGCCGCCGGUCCCUUCACUGUCCCCGCCACCGGGGCUCAUCCCCCGCCGGCCGCGACCCCGGGACGCGGAGCGGGCUCCCGGGCACACGGCGCCUCUCCCCCCGGCCCCGCCGGCUGCAGGCACCGGGCACCGGCACCGGGAGUGCGGGCACGGAGCCCUCGGGUUCCCUCGGGGAAGCCGCUUCGGGGGGGAAAACUCGCGUGGGGGCAGCGUACGCCGUGCCCCCGCGGCCCCACGGAUUUGGGGGAAAAUCCGGUGUUUUCGGGGCAGCGGGCACGGACGGCCCCGUCCGGGGUUGGAAGCGGCCCGACGGGAAGCGGCUCCGGCCCUGCCCCGACGAACCGGGCCCGGCCGGGGCAGAGGGCCCCCCCGAGGUGCUCGUGGCCUCCCCGAGCCCCCCCAAAGCCCCGCGGACCCCGGCCCCGGCCCUCGCCGGUGCCCGCGGGGGAGCGGAGCCUCUUCCGACGGCCGCCGCCCGGCCCCGGGACGGGAACGGUUUCUCUGCGGGAAAAGCCCCGGGGCGGGGGGCUCGGAGCCGGGGGGGCUCCGGGCGGCCGGCGACUGCGGCGGGGCCGCCAAAGGGGCUCGGAGCCGGUGUUUGGGGCCGGUACCGGCACCGGGGCCCGGAGAUGCGGCGGCGAAAGGCGGGAGCCCACCGGAAAGGGGAUGGGGGGGCAGGCGGCGGGACCCCCAGGGGGGCUGCGGGAGGAAGGGGGGGGACCGGCAUCUGCUCGCCCCCGGGGCUCCGGGAAGGGCCCGGUGUGUCCGGGCUGCACGGCGGGGCCGGGUUUUAA
RNAcentral lists this long non-coding RNA (1041 nucleotides) under Anas zonorhyncha (Eastern spot-billed duck). Its description in RNAcentral is "lncRNA (ENSAZOG00000018931.1)". Lineage: Eukaryota; Metazoa; Chordata; Aves; Anseriformes; Anatidae. The record is from RNAcentral.